Molecule: long non-coding RNA, 1533 nt
Filed under: Apis florea (little honeybee)
Lineage: Eukaryota; Metazoa; Arthropoda; Insecta; Hymenoptera; Apidae
Description: uncharacterized LOC105736435, transcript variant X2
Source: RNAcentral
GCCGCUUAUUCGGCGGGCCGUCCACCAGGUGGUCGGCCAUGGUUUCUUUAUAGGAUUAAUUAUUUCUUCUUUCAGGCUGUUUACUCCCGGUAGCAAGUACGCGGCGGCGGCGGCAGCAAGUCGGGACGACCGCACGCACGCACGCACGCAGGCAGACACGCACGCAGGCACGUAUACACGGGUACACACACGGGCGAAACGCUGCACUACGCCACUAGAAGAUUGCUGCUGCUGUUGCUAUUACUGCUAGUAUUGCUGCUUCCUCCUCCUCGGUGAAGCCGCAAAAAUUCACCAAGCUCUUAGCAUAUUCGCAAGCAUGACAAUAACAAUGAAAACCGCGGCGCGUGGAGCGUCCCCGAGCACGCUUCGAUACACGAUCAACCAUUGGGCAUCGUCGGGGGUACGUCGAACCCCGCGCUAAAGCCUACACACACAGUAAAUUUUUCGAUAGAUGCACGGACCACUCGCGCGAGAACAGGCCAAGAAAUUAACAAGACUAUCAGUAUCGUAAUUCUGAGGAUCACCACUCAGAUUAAAUGCACACACCACCAAACGAGUUCUCACGUUAUAUUCGGUCUAGACGGUCGCUCACGACUCGUCAAACACUCAAGUGUGGCGGACUGGCUGCGCGCACGGCGCUAGCUCACAGCAACGAUAUCGCUCUUGAGGCCCGCUGGCACCAUCUUUCUCUCCUCUUCUCUCGCCUUGGUACACUGCGACACGGGGCGCGCGAAUGAUCACCGCGGACGCGGCUCGCUUUCCCCACACAUUCGAGGCAAUCACGGACGCCAGGAGGCAAAGACGAACAAAUGAGUCGGCUCCGGGGCGGCCACCGCGCGCCACAGAAAUUCGCUCGGGAAAAGCGAUCGCGAGAGUUCUGCACCGCACGAGUAUCGGCUAACGUAAAAUGGCGGCUGCUGUUGACGAGAAGUUUUUCUACGCUUGUCAGAAAAUGUCCGACUGGUUCCGUAUAGUUGCCGUGACAUUAGACUAGCCAUCUGAUUGGUCUACAUGAUCAUGUGACCUAAUCACUUGCUAUUAUUGGUCAAACUGCUGCGAGGCCACGAACGCUGUGAUUACGUUCACGCCGCCGGUCCAACAGCCGCGAGAAUUUCGUUUAUUCCUCUGCCGCCAUUUGAUAAAGGCCGGUCCUGCAUAGUGGUUGAAUAAUAAGAAAAUCAAAAAUUGUAUUUAUUACUGCAUUGACAAAAUCAAGAGUGAUAAAGGGAUAUCAUUACAAGAUGGCCAGGGAUUUCUCGAUCGACAGGUUAAAAGGAAGAAUGUACACAUAUACAAGGUGGGGAGUUUGCGUUGCGCAGAACGUCCUCUGUUCGAGAAAGAAAAUCUGACUCGUGAUAGAUAUGCGUUUGUGUGCGCUCGCACGCGCACGAUAGUGUCAGAUACACAGAAUUGUGUAAAGAAAAAGGUGAACAUGAGAAGAGAGGGAGUAUUGGAAAUGGGACGGGAAUUAGAUGACGCCGUGGCAGCAGCCACCUAGCCACCCAUUUCAGUGACAGCGACAGCGAUUCUUUA